CAACAGAAGAGACAAAUCUCCGAAGAAAAAGGGAAGGUGCUGCAAUGGUUAUGGUCAGGAAGGGUAGAGGCAGGAGAGAUAGAAAAGGAGCCACCAGCAAGAAGAAGAGGAGGAAGGCAGAGAAGUAAGGGAAGGAAGCAAUAGGUGUUUUCUGAAAAUAAAAAUAUGAAAUGAAAGAUCCAGAGGAAGGAAUACAGGGAGGAAGGGUGGGGGUCUGCUGGAGAAGAGACCACAGUACAGGAGUGAAGUAUCUGCAAUCGUUAUAUAAAGACUGGCUAUGUGGAGGACAGUGUCUGUACAGUAUCAUAUGCACAGACCUAGAUAUGUGACAGACUGCAUGUGAGGACUAAUUCCAUGUACAGAUCAUAAAAUCCUGCCUGGAAUCUUCUGAUGUAAAGGGUGUCUGAUCUAAUGAAGAUUCAUCAUCAUCAUCUGUGACAGCACAAGCUAUAACAAGGCGCUAUGUACAGUACAGCCAAGGCCAAAAGUUUUGGAAAUGACACAAACAUUAAUUUUCACAAAGUCUGCUGCCUCAGUUUUUGCACAUACUCCAGAAUGUCAUGAAGAGUGAUCAGAUGAAUUGCAAAGUCCCUCUUUGCUGUGACAAUGAACUUAAUCCCCAAAACAACAUUUCCACUGCAUUUCAGCCACAAAAGGACCAGUUGACAUCAUGUCAGUGAUUCUGUCAUUAACACGGGUGAGAGUGUUGAUGACGACAAGGCUGGAGAUCACUCUGUCAUGCUAACUGAAUUAGAAUGACAGACUGGAAGCUUUAAAAGGAGGGUGGUGCAUGAAAUCAUUGUUCUUCCUCUGUUAACCACGGUUACCUGCAAGGAAAGAUGUGCAGUCAUCAGUCCUUUGCAUAAAAAGGGCCUCACGGGUAAGGAUAUUGCUAUUACUAAUAUUGCACCUAAAUCAACCAUUUAUCGGAUCAUCAAGAACUUCAAGGAGAGAGGUUCAAUAGUUGUUAAGAAAGCUUCAGGGUGCCCAAGAACAUCCAAUAAGCACCAGGACCAUCUCCUAAAGUUGAUUCAGCUGCGGGAUCGGGGCAUCGCCAGUGCGGAGCUUGCUUAGGAAUGGCAGCAGUCAGGUGUGAGUGCAUCUGCACGUACAGUGAGGCGAAGACUUUUGGAGAAUGGACUGGUGUCAAGAAGGGCAGCAAAAAAGCCACUUCUUUCCAGGAAAACCAUAAGGGACAGACGAUAUUCUUCAAAAGGUACAGAUGGAGCCACGCUAGUCAUGGCUCAGUCUGUGACUAGGCGCGCCUGCCCAGGCACGCAUAGCAGCGAGAGUGUCUGUCCGGCCGAGUGCGCGCAUCAAAUUAACGUGAAUGGAGAGUAUCUCCAUCCGGGUGGCGUGUACCCAGACGGAGACGCUCAGUAUGGGAGAGUCUCUGUGCACUCCCGGCAUGACUAGGUGGACAGAUCGCCUAGUCACACCGGGAGUGCACGCCUGCGAUGGAGCCACCUCAGAUGAGCGCGGCUCCAUCUGUACAGAUAUUGGACUACUGAGCAAUGGGGUAAAGUCAUUUUCUCUGCUGAAUCCCCUUUCAGAAUGUUUGGGGCAUCUGGAAAAACACUUGUCUGGAGAACGAAAGGUGAGUGCUACCAUCAGUCCUGUGUCAUGCCAACAGCAAAGCAUCCUGAGACCAUUCAUGUGUGGAGUUGCUUCUCAGCCAAGAAAGUGGUCUCACUCACAGUUUUGUAGGCAGCUAUGAAUAAAGAAUGGUACCAAAACAUCUUCCAAGAGCAACUUCUCCCAACCAUCCAAGAACAGUUUGGUGAUGAAGAAUGCCUUUUCCAGAUGAUUUAGCACCCAGCCAUAUGGCAAAUGUGACAACUAAGUGGCCUGGGGAACAAAACAUUACAUUUUGGGUCCAUGGCCAGGAACUCCCCAGACCUUAAUCCCACUGAAAACUUGUGGUCAAUCCUCAAGAGGCAGGUGGACAAACAGAAACCUACAAAUUCUGACAAACUCCAAGCAUUAAUUAGGCAGGAAUGGGCGGCCAUCAGUCAGUAUGAGGCUCAGAAGUUGAUUGACAGCAUGCCAGGGCAAAUUGGUGAGGUCUUGAAAAAGAAGGGUCUACACUGCAAAUACUGACUCUUUGCAUAAACUUAAUGUAAUUGUCAAUAAAAGCCUUGAUACAUAUGAAAUGCUUGUAAUUUUACUUCAGUAUACCAUAUUAACAUUUGCCAAAAAGGUCUAAAAACACUGAGCAGCAAACUUUGUGAAAACCAAUACUUGUGUCAUUCUCAAAACUUUUGGCUAUGGCUGUACAGCCUGGAAGGAUUAGCAGUGGGAGUUUCUUUACUUUAAUUGACAGGGCUAGCUCUGAUACAUCUUAAUCAUGUUCCUGUCCUGAAUCACAUAUACUUUAUUACCUAUAUUUAAUAGACAAAGAUGAGCAACAUAAUUGAUGGGACAACACAGACACUGCAAAUGCAGGAAAAGCCUAAAUCAUGUAUAGUGUAUAUGUUAUUCUGCAUAAAAGGAAUUACUGCUACAUAAACAAUUCUAUAUUACUGAAACCUCAUUCUGUCCUGUCAUCAUUUUUUAUAGGUUGAAUUGUACAGGCUAUCAUGCAUGAGCAAAUCUUGUGUUUUUCUUUUAGUAUAAAGUUCUGUGUGGUUUAUUGUGGAUUUUGUAGCUCCAAAGAACAUUUACAGGAU
Pseudophryne corroboree (corroboree frog) is the source of this 2669-nucleotide long non-coding RNA. RefSeq lists it as uncharacterized. NCBI's taxonomy places the organism in Eukaryota, Metazoa, Chordata, Amphibia, Anura, Myobatrachidae. The transcript is spliced from 3 exons. The record is from RefSeq and is a predicted model, not a curated record.